This 672-nucleotide long non-coding RNA is filed under the name Nicotiana benthamiana. RNAcentral's name for it is "long non-coding RNA (NBEN_LNC039361)". Lineage: Eukaryota; Viridiplantae; Streptophyta; Magnoliopsida; Solanales; Solanaceae. The record is from RNAcentral.
AAAGGACUAAAUGUUAAAAGCAUAAAAUCUGAAACUUGCUCUAGUAACUUGCCUAUAAAGACAUUGUUACUUAGAGCUGAAGGAAAAAACACUAGAAAGCAGUGAAAAUAUACUGAAAAAUCCAGGUGGCAAAAAAAAACUUUAAAAAAUAUUGUUCCAUUGCCCCCUUGCUUGGAUUCUCAAAGUUUCUUUACAUCUGAAGCAAUCUGUGUUCAUUUAAGGUUUAAAAUGGAUUAAAUAUUAGCUCUAAGGUUUGAUUAAGAAGUGUUGGGUUUGCAUUUGGUUGAAAUCACCCUAGGUAUACUGAUUUGGGUUUUAUUUUUUCCAAAACCGUUUUGCUUUGGUCCUGGUUCAAAUGUGUUUGCCUCCUUUUUGGUUUUGAUAUCCGAGUUGUUUGGGUUGUGUUGCUACUGGUUUAAAGCUGUUGCUGACUGUUGUUUACUGCUGCUGACUAUUCCCUCUUCUUACUUUCAUUAAUUUCCAGGUGCUUUUUAGCCUCAAAUGAUUUGUGAAGAACUGAAUCAGCAAAUGUAUGACUGAUUUGUUGAAGAAAUGAUACACUGUUUUUUCCUUCUUUUUUUGUGUUAAUUCAUUUAUAAGUAUAUUUAACUGCUCAAUUUACGCUUCAUUGUAAUGUGAGAAUCCAAUGAUCUAGACAUUUAACAUUUGUAA